RNAcentral lists this transfer RNA (73 nucleotides) under Pleodorina starrii. Its description in RNAcentral is "tRNA-Arg". It matches the Rfam family "tRNA". Rfam says of the family: Transfer RNA (tRNA) molecules are approximately 80 nucleotides in length. Their secondary structure includes four short double-helical elements and three loops (D, anti-codon, and T loops). Further hydrogen bonds mediate the characteristic L-shaped molecular structure. tRNAs have two regions of fundamental functional importance: the anti-codon, which is responsible for specific mRNA codon recognition, and the 3' end, to which the tRNAs corresponding amino acid is attached (by aminoacyl-tRNA synthetases). tRNAs cope with the degeneracy of the genetic code in two manners: having more than one tRNA (with a specific anti-codon) for a particular amino acid; and 'wobble' base-pairing, i.e. permitting non-standard base-pairing at the 3rd anti-codon position. The record is from RNAcentral. Lineage: Eukaryota; Viridiplantae; Chlorophyta; Chlorophyceae; Chlamydomonadales; Volvocaceae.
GGGCCUAUGGCUUAAUGGAUAAAGCGCCGGUCUACGGAACCGGAAGAUUCCAGGUUCGAUCCCUGUAGGCUCG